Molecule: unclassified non-coding RNA, 637 nt
Filed under: Hevea brasiliensis (rubber tree)
Lineage: Eukaryota; Viridiplantae; Streptophyta; Magnoliopsida; Malpighiales; Euphorbiaceae
Source: RNAcentral
CUUAUAGAUAAAAAAAAAUUAUUUAACAAUAAAUUAUUUUAAGAAAUUAAACUGCUAAAAAAAUUAUUCUACUCAAUAUGCAAAACUCAAAAAUCAUCUAAAGACUUAGAAAUGGAUUUUGCCUUAUUUGUGUAGACAAUUGGACCUGACGUCAUCUGUGAGCCUGGCAAGACAUGAUGCAGCAUAUAGAAGUUUAGGCUCAGUGAAAAGCCAAUCAAAUACAUCUUUUGAAGCCACUUAGCCCAUCCCACAGAAGGACAAGGUUAUCAAGAUAGGGUAAGUAAAGCUGAUCGCUGCAACAGAAAUAUAUUCUUCUAGUGUUGGCACAUAAUCACCGUUGAACCACCUUGCUUCAGUGAUAUAGACUCUCACUUGCUUCUUCACCUGCAAAUUAAUUGAAAGGACAGAGAUUACAUACCCUUAACAAAACCAUGAUAAUUUUAUUAAGAUAUGCUAAGUUAUAUAUUUUAUACUUACACUCUCCAUAAAUAAUAAAAAAAAGGAAAAAAAAAUUACUUUGACUUGAUCCAUCCUUAUCAUUCAAUACACAAAUAUGUGAGGUUUACUUUUUUUAAUAAGCUCCAUAAUUUUACAAGUAGGUUCCACCAAGCAUAUGUUAGUAGUAUGCCCUAGAGCA